CAGUCGCCACGGGAAUACGUAGGUGGCAAGCGUUGUCCGGAAUUAUUGGGCGUAAAGGGCUCGCAGGCGGUUUCUUAAGUCUGAUGUGAAAGCCCCCGGCUCAACCGGGGAGGAUCAUUGGAAACUGGGAAACUUGAGUGCAGAAGAGGAGAGUGGAAUUCCACGUGUAGCGGUGAAAUGCGUAGAGAUGUGGAGGAACACCAGUGGCGAAGGCGACUCUCUGGUCUGUAACUGACGCUGAGGAGCGAAAGCGUGGGGAGCGAACAGGAUUAGAUACCCCAGUAGUCCCUGUCUCUUAUAC
RNAcentral lists this ribosomal RNA (301 nucleotides) under uncultured bacterium. RNAcentral describes it as "partial 16S ribosomal RNA". It matches the Rfam family "Bacterial small subunit ribosomal RNA", at positions 509 to 807 of the family's 1533-position model. The record is from RNAcentral.